RNAcentral lists this transfer RNA (70 nucleotides) under Stegodyphus mimosarum. It matches the Rfam family "tRNA". Rfam says of the family: Transfer RNA (tRNA) molecules are approximately 80 nucleotides in length. Their secondary structure includes four short double-helical elements and three loops (D, anti-codon, and T loops). Further hydrogen bonds mediate the characteristic L-shaped molecular structure. tRNAs have two regions of fundamental functional importance: the anti-codon, which is responsible for specific mRNA codon recognition, and the 3' end, to which the tRNAs corresponding amino acid is attached (by aminoacyl-tRNA synthetases). tRNAs cope with the degeneracy of the genetic code in two manners: having more than one tRNA (with a specific anti-codon) for a particular amino acid; and 'wobble' base-pairing, i.e. permitting non-standard base-pairing at the 3rd anti-codon position. The record is from Rfam by way of RNAcentral. Lineage: Eukaryota; Metazoa; Arthropoda; Arachnida; Araneae; Eresidae.
GCCUUCGUAGUGUAAUAGUCAGCACACUCGGCUCAUAGAGAGGUCCGAGGUUCGAGUCCCGGCGAAGGCA